Long non-coding RNA from Oxyura jamaicensis (ruddy duck), 304 nucleotides. RefSeq lists it as uncharacterized. The record is from RefSeq and is a predicted model, not a curated record. Lineage: Eukaryota; Metazoa; Chordata; Aves; Anseriformes; Anatidae. The transcript is spliced from 4 exons.
GGGAGUGUAGUUGUCCUGUGCUUGGAGAUGAUGCUUGGCUCCUGUUGAUCAGGUUUUUUGAAAUCAGCUGCUGGACAUCAGCAAAAAGGCUGAAGUCUACUAUGAACACUGGCCUGUGCAUGUGGGAGAAGCAAGUUCACUUUUGUCAGCUCUCCCUGCCUACAGGAAUAGCCUAAUGCCAGGAUGAAUUUGAACAGGAAUGAUGAUCACUUUUCCUGAAGAGCUGUCACAUACAUUUUUCCCUUGUUGCAAGAAGCUCGUUCCCAACUAAGUUAAGGAGUGCUUGGUUGGAUGUGAAGCCUCU